This 3243-nucleotide long non-coding RNA is filed under the name Sus scrofa (pig). Its description in RNAcentral is "lncRNA (ENSSSCG00000053295.1)". The record is from RNAcentral. Lineage: Eukaryota; Metazoa; Chordata; Mammalia; Artiodactyla; Suidae.
ACAGCAGAAACCUGAGCCACAGCAGUGACAACACCAGAUCCUUACUACUGCACCACAAGGGAACUCAAGUUACCUCUUUUUUAAAGAAUUCUGCCUCUUUAAAAAAAAAUGAGAAAACAGAGACUUCUAGCACAAAAAGACCAAACAAGUUCCUCCAAACUGAAUGAGGGCCAGUGAUCAGAAUCUGUGCCCUCCCAACACCAAUAUCAACAUAGAGCCCACUGCUUCCCCCACAUCCCACUGCCAGCUUUCCAGUGCACCCUUUAACUUCAAAGUGAAGAAUGACAAAGCCAUUUACAAUGUUCUUUUCUCAGUUAUCAUUCAGUGUGAAGAAGAGGAGAAAAUAAAAUUUUUGCAAGAAGUAAAAAGGAUCUGCCUAUGGACACCCUGAAAAUCAAUGAUGAAGCCAGAACAACUGCAAACAAGCCUGCCUCAAGGGCCAGGGCUCUGUGCCCUGAACUCAUUCUCACCUACCCAGGAGACAAUCACUGUCUUUAAGGUUUGUGGGUUCCCACUUAUUUGAGAUGUACAAGGUGAAUAGUGAAACCCUGAUGCUAAAAUUUCCCCCAAUUAUGCCUACGCCCGGCCUUGUCGAGGAACCCUGGGAUCUCAGUACCUUCCCAGCUAGUGUAUUUUUAAAUGCAGGCUUGUUUUUUCUAGGUCAUUGAGGCUAGGCCCCUGAGACCAGAGCUCCCCUCCUACAGAAGCCCUGAGUCACUGCGGGUGCUCCCUGAAUAAUGAGUAAUCAACACCAUGGUAAGUUACUUGGAACAAGGAGGAGCUGUUUGAUGAGUACUACCCCCUUCUUUCAGAAAAGGAGAAAAACUCAUAUAUUCUUUGCACUAUAUUAUUCUCAGUUCUUUGCACUAUAUUAUUCUCACAAGUCUCAGCACUUUUAUCUAGAAAUUUGAGCAGAUGCAUUGAUUUAAUCAACCACACAUAGGGAGCUCCCAUGUGUGCAGCAGAAAUAAAUCUGACUAGUAUCCAUGAGGAUGAGGGUUCAAUCCCUGGCUUCGAUCAGUGGGAUCAGUGACUUGCAUUGCCAUGAGCUGCGUGUAGGUCAAAGAUGCAGCUCAGAUCCAGCAUUGCCAUGGUUGUGGCAUAGGCCAGCAGCUGCAGCUCCACUUCAACCCUAGCCUGGGAAUUUCUAUGUGUUUUGGGUAUAGCACUAAAAGCAAAAAAAAAAAAAAAAAAAAAGUACACAGAGAAACAAUAAACACUUAGUCCAGUUCUUGAUUUUUUUUUUUCCCUAUAGGGUAAACAGACAGUCACCCAGAAAUUCUAAUGGCAAAACCCACUUCCCCAGUCCUGGAUCUUUCUACCAUGUAAACCCCAUGGCAAGAGUGAGUAACACCAUAGCACGGUUUGCUGGACCAUCUCAGAUAAUGUAUGUUGUCCCAGUGUAGUUACCAACAGCACCUCUGUUACUCUCAAAAGUGUCCCAGAGAAGCCAAUAAAUGUCACGGGCAUAUCACCUAAGGACUGUGUCCACCAGGCUUCUAACUAAGAGAGAAAAAGCCAAAGUGGGAAGUCACAAGUGUUUAGAGCAUUAGCCCGGGACUAAGUGUUCAGAAAAACCCAAGAGCCAAGCCUUGUAUUGCUGUGCAAGCUCCUCAGAUUUCAGAGAUAUCCACAAUCUAAAAUAGGGAACCAUUACUGAUCCAGUUUAUGGCCCCUGGGCAGCCAUCAUGGGAGCCCAUCAGCUGGCCGCUCCCCCUUCUCUCCUUCUCACUGCACCUACCAUUCCCAUGAAACCCAAACCUUUCCAAAUGAGUUUGGCUCUUGUUUUAGUUUUAGUACUACCUCCCUGAGGCCUCUCACUUUGGCAAGAUUCUAUAGGUUGUCGUGUUUCAGGAGUGUAAUGAUAAGAAUCAUGGCGGGGGUGGGAGGAGCAGAGAAAGAGGAGGAGGUGGGGGAGGGGCAGGGGAAGAAAAGCAAGGGGAGGAGGAGCAGGAAGAGGAGGAGGAGGAGGAAGUAUUGUUAACAGCAGGACCGCUGGGACCAUCAGCAUGGAAUGAUUCAGUUUAAGCAACAAAGGCUGUUUGUUUCCUGAGCUCUCAACUGAGCAGCAUUGGCUGCAACGGAAGAAAGGGAUCUCUAGGGAAAGGCGGAGGCGGGGUGUUCAGCUGCCUCCCUUCACCACAGGCUGUCAUCAGAGCUGGGUCAGUCCCCUCCAGAAGGAGGCCCUGAGGAGACCUGUGAGGUUGCAGGUGUCUGGGUGAUUCCACCCGGGGUCACUCUCUUCCUCUGACCUCUCCCUGGAGACGCACCUCCUGGAGAUCCCCACUUCUCUCCUGGAACAUGAAAUAAGGUUCAGGCCACCUGGAUAUUAGGAAUCCAGCAGUGACUUGCAGCAGGUGAGAAAGUAGUAAGAAGAGCUGGGUUUUUAAUACAGGCCCCAGCUCCCCCUCCUUUCCCAGGUGAAGCCCAGCCAUGGUCCUCUCUCUGCACCUUCCUGAAAAUGAACAGAGCUCAGCUGAGAAAGGAGUUAGUUUCUCCACUGGCCGGCUUGUGAGAUGGGGGACAAUACAAACAGAGCCCUCUCACCACGUCUCUGGGUGCCCAAUGGCAGCUCUCAUUAGUUUAUGAAAGGGAGGCUCCGUAUUUGAUUGUAAAGAAGUCUGAUUUCUUCAGAAAGAAGUAAUGUCUUCCUAGAAAGAAGACGCAUUACUACUCAGCCACGGGAAGCCUAGAGUACUAAUUGUUUGUUCCUUGAGGUGUUUGAAGGAACAGUAUACCCUGGUCACCGGAGAGCUUUCCUAGCAAUUCAGUUCCCAAAGUCAGCACAUCUCAAUUUACGAAAUAGUCUCUAGAACCGGAGGUUGGAAAAUGAUCAUGUGGUGCUGGCCUCUCCCACACACACCAACAGCCACAAGGAAAAGUACAUGACAAACACCAUGUGCAGGCCCAGAGGGGAAGAUGAUGUCUUGUCGAUGUGAACAGGCAGAUUCUCCCUAAAGAAGCGCAGACUCGAGGUGACAGGUUGACCUGCCUUACACUUGAGAAAUCUAAGACAAGCAACCUCUCUCAGAGCCAGAGGAAGCAGAGAACUUUCACUUCCCUUCGCUCUCCCUGCCACCUCCUCUCACUCAGUUUGAGAUCAAGUACGUUCAAUCCCAAAACUGAGCGUGACACUGCAGCACGGACUUUCAGAACCCCUCCCCCCAGCUUUCCGGCUGGCAGAACAGAUCCUGAGCUGCCCUCUCUGGAGCACCAUUCGUUACUGCACUGAACAGGCUGGGA